UCUCCGUUGGUGAACCAGCGGAGGGAUCAUUACCGAGUACUACACUCAUAACCCUUUGUGAACCUUUAUAACCUGUUGCUUCGGCGGCGCGGCCCUCGGGUCGUGCCCGCCGGUAUCAUCAGAAUCUCUGUUCGAACCCGACGAUACUUCUGAGUGUUCUAAGCGAAUUGUUAAAACUUUCAACAACGGAUCUCUUGGCUCUCGCAUCGAUGAAGAACGCAGC
This 223-nucleotide unclassified non-coding RNA is filed under the name uncultured fungus. RNAcentral's name for it is "sequence contains ITS1, 5.8S rRNA gene". The stretch from base 175 to 223 matches the Rfam family "5.8S ribosomal RNA", at positions 1 to 49 of the family's 154-position model. The record is from RNAcentral. Lineage: Eukaryota; Fungi.